GUCGAACGGCAGCACGGGAGCAAUCCUGGUGGCGAGUGGCGAACGGGUGAGUAAUACAUCGGAACGUGUCCUGUAGUGGGGGAUAGCCCGGCGAAAGCCGGAUUAAUACCGCAUACGCUCUGCGGAGGAAAGCGGGGGAUCCUUCGGGACCUCGCGCUACAGGGGCGGCCGAUGGCAGAUUAGCUAGUUGGUGGGGUAAAGGCCUACCAAGGCGACGAUCUGUAGCUGGUCUGAGAGGACGACCAGCCACACUGGGACUGAGACACGGCCCAGACUCCUACGGGAGGCAGCAGUGGGGAAUUUUGGACAAUGGGCGCAAGCCUGAUCCAGCAAUGCCGCGUGUGUGAAGAAGGCCUUCGGGUUGUAAAGCACUUUUGUCCGGAAAGAAAACCGCCUGGCUAAUAUCCGGGCGGGAUGACGGUACCGGAAGAAUAAGCACCGGCUAACUACGUGCCAGCAGCCGCGGUAAUACGUAGGGUGCAAGCGUUAAUCGGAAUUACUGGGCGUAAAGCGUGCGCAGGCGGUUCGCUAAGACAGAUGUGAAAUCCCCGGGCUUAACCUGGGAACUGCAUUUGUGACUGGCGGGCUAGAGUAUGGCAGAGGGGGGUAGAAUUCCACGUGUAGCAGUGAAAUGCGUAGAGAUGUGGAGGAAUACCGAUGGCGAAGGCAGCCCCCUGGGCCAAUACUGACGCUCAUGCACGAA
RNAcentral lists this ribosomal RNA (703 nucleotides) under Paraburkholderia graminis. RNAcentral describes it as "bacterial SSU rRNA". It matches the Rfam family "Bacterial small subunit ribosomal RNA", at positions 61 to 757 of the family's 1533-position model. Lineage: Bacteria; Pseudomonadati; Pseudomonadota; Betaproteobacteria; Burkholderiales; Burkholderiaceae. The record is from RNAcentral.